GGCGCAGGCGGUUCUUUAAGUCGGAUGUAAAAUCUCCCGGCUCAACUGGGAGGGACCAUUCGAUACUGGGGGACUGGAGUACAGCAGAGGAAGGCGGAAUUCCCGGUGUAGUGGUGAAAUGCGUAGAUAUCGGGAGGAACACCAGUGGCGAAGGCGGCCUUCUGGGCUGUUACUGACGCUGAGGCCCGAAAGCGUGGGGAGCGAACAGGAUUAGGUACCCUGGUAGUCC
This 229-nucleotide ribosomal RNA is filed under the name uncultured bacterium. Its description in RNAcentral is "partial 16S ribosomal RNA". It matches the Rfam family "Bacterial small subunit ribosomal RNA", at positions 568 to 796 of the family's 1533-position model. The record is from RNAcentral.